This 441-nucleotide ribosomal RNA is filed under the name uncultured bacterium. Its description in RNAcentral is "bacterial SSU rRNA". It matches the Rfam family "Bacterial small subunit ribosomal RNA", at positions 958 to 1397 of the family's 1533-position model. The record is from RNAcentral.
AACGCGAAGAACCUUACCAGGGUUUGAUAUGCAGGUGGCGACGGCAGAAAUGUCGUUUUCCCGCAAGGGACGCCUGCACAGGUGCUGCAUGGCUGUCGUCAGCUCGUGCCGUGAGGUGUUUGGUUAAGUCCAGCAACGAGCGCAACCCUUGUCUUCAGUUGCCAACACGUAAUGGUGGGCACUCUGAAGAGACUGCCUGGGUUAACCAGGAGGAAGGUGAGGAUGACGUCAAGUCCGCAUGGCCUUUAUGCCCUGGGCCACACACGUGCUACAAUGGCCGGUACAGAGGGCAGCAAUACCGCGAGGUGGAGCAAAUCCCAAAAGCCGGCCCCAGUUCAGAUUGGAGUCUGCAACUCGACUCCAUGAAGCCGGAAUUGCUAGUAAUGGCGAGUCAGCCACAUCGCCGUGAAUACGUUCCCGGGCCUUGUACACACCGCGAGC